RNAcentral lists this ribosomal RNA (254 nucleotides) under uncultured bacterium. RNAcentral's name for it is "partial 16S ribosomal RNA". It matches the Rfam family "Bacterial small subunit ribosomal RNA", at positions 524 to 776 of the family's 1533-position model. The record is from RNAcentral.
UACGUAGGGUGCGAGCGUUAAUCGGAAUUACUGGUCGUAAAGCGUGCGCAGGCGGUCUGUUAAGACCGAUGUGAAAUCCCCGGGCUUAACCUGGGAACUGCAUUGGUGACUGGCAGGCUUUGAGUGUGGCAGAGGGAGGUAGAAUUCCACGUGUAGCAGUGAAAUGCGUAGAGAUGUGGAGGAAUACCGAUGGCGAAGGCAGCCUCCUGGGCCAACACUGACGCUCAUGCACGAAAGCGUGGGGAGCAAACAGG